Molecule: ribosomal RNA, 282 nt
Filed under: uncultured prokaryote
Description: partial 16S ribosomal RNA
Rfam family: Bacterial small subunit ribosomal RNA
Source: RNAcentral
GUGCCAGCCGCCGCGGUAAUACGGAGGGUGCGAGCGUUAAUCGGAAUUACUGGGCGUAAAGCGCACGCAGGCGGUUUGUUAAGCUAGAUGUGAAAGCCCCGGGCUCAACCUGGGAUGGUCAUUUAGAACUGGCAGACUAGAGUCUUGGAGAGGGGAGUGGAAUUCCAGGUGUAGCGGUGAAAUGCGUAGAUAUCUGGAGGAACAUCAGUGGCGAAGGCGACUCCCUGGCCAAAGACUGACGCUCAUGUGCGAAAGUGUGGGUAGCGAACAGGAUUAGAAACC